CCUACGGGUGGCUGCAGUGGGGAAUAUUGGACAAUGGGCGCAAGCCUGAUCCAGCAAUGCCGCGUGGGUGAUGAAGGCCUUCGGGUUGUAAAGCCCUUUUGGCGGGGACGAUGAUGACGGUACCCGCCGAAUAAGCUCCGGCUAACUUCGUGCCAGCAGCCGCGGUAAUACGAAGGGAGCUAGCGUUGUUCGGAAUUACUGGGCGUAAAGGGCGCGUAGGCGGUUUCGAUAGUCAGGCGUGAAAUCCCCAGGCUCAACCUGGGAAUUGCGCUUGAUACUGCGAGACUUGAGUGAGGGAGAGGAUAGUGGAAUUCCCAGUGUAGAGGUGAAAUUCGUAGAUAUUGGGAAGAACACCAGUGGCGAAGGCGGCUAUCUGGACCUCAACUGACGCUGAGGCGCGAAAGCGUGGGGAGCAAACAGGAUUAGAUACCCUGGUAGUCUAU
This 443-nucleotide ribosomal RNA is filed under the name uncultured Rhodospirillaceae bacterium. RNAcentral describes it as "bacterial SSU rRNA". It matches the Rfam family "Bacterial small subunit ribosomal RNA", at positions 338 to 798 of the family's 1533-position model. The record is from RNAcentral. Lineage: Bacteria; Pseudomonadati; Pseudomonadota; Alphaproteobacteria; Rhodospirillales; Rhodospirillaceae.